UCUACUGCUUUCAUUAUGUCUACUGUGAGCACUCGGUUUAGGUACUGGAGCUUUCCUUGGCUGUCUACACAACCUUAAUAUUCUACUCGUCUCAUGGAAGCCCCCUCCCCAUGGAGUGCUCAUUGGUAAACUUUGAUGGUGCUGUGCGUGGUCAUCAAGCUGCGGCUGGCUUUGUUGUCCAAGAUCAUUUAGGUAAAUUUCUUCUUGCGGGUGGCAAAUUACUUCCUAAAUCGUC
This 235-nucleotide long non-coding RNA is filed under the name Elaeis guineensis (African oil palm). RNAcentral's name for it is "long non-coding RNA (EGUI_LNC013489)". The record is from RNAcentral. Lineage: Eukaryota; Viridiplantae; Streptophyta; Magnoliopsida; Arecales; Arecaceae.